UACGUAGGGUGCAAGCGUUAAUCGGAAUUACUGGGCGUAAAGCGCGUGUAGGCGGACUGGUGUGUCGGAUGUGAAAUCCCCAGGCUCAACCUGGGAACUGCAUUCGAAACUGCCAGCCUUGAGUGGUGGAGAGGGAAGUGGAAUUCCUGGUGUAGAGGUGAAAUUCGUAGAUAUCAGGAGGAACACCAGUGGCGAAGGCGGCUUCCUGGACACCAACUGACGCUGAGACGCGAAAGCGUGGGGAGCAAACAGG
RNAcentral lists this ribosomal RNA (253 nucleotides) under uncultured bacterium. RNAcentral's name for it is "partial 16S ribosomal RNA". It matches the Rfam family "Bacterial small subunit ribosomal RNA", at positions 524 to 776 of the family's 1533-position model. The record is from RNAcentral.